UUGCUGUCAAAAGUUAAGCUAUCCUUUCUUCGAAAAUUACCAAUGAAUUGAUAGAGGAAACGUGAAAGAGUCGUGGCCGUCGUGCAGCCUACCGUCAACUAUUUUGUUCAGAAUCAUUGUAUUCUACUAAAUGUUCCAUCGAAAUGAUAAGGAGUCAUAAUUGUAUUGGACUUGCUAGAUCCCCAAGCCCAGCACAGAAAAAUCUCUGAUUUCAUCUUCUCGAAAGAAGAUUUGAUAACUGAUGGGUGGUUUCAUUUGUUCUAAACUCCAGGUUUCUAAAUUUGCAUUGCAGACUUUAUGAGAAGUCAUGUUCUU
This is a long non-coding RNA of Daphnia pulex (common water flea), 315 nucleotides long. RefSeq lists it as uncharacterized. The record is from RefSeq and is a predicted model, not a curated record. Lineage: Eukaryota; Metazoa; Arthropoda; Branchiopoda; Diplostraca; Daphniidae. The transcript is spliced from 4 exons.